CUUUAUGUGAAAAUAUUCCCUUUCCCACUGUAGGCCUCAAAGCACUCAAAAUGUCCACUUGCAGAUUCUACAAAAAGAGAGCUUCAGAACUACUCAAUGAAAAGAAAGGUUUAACUCUGUGAGAUGAAUGCACAUAUCACAAAGAAGUUUCACAGAUUGCUUCUGUGUAGAUUUUAUGUGAAGAUAUUUCCUUUUCUACCAUAGGCCGCAAAGCACUCCAAAUGUCCACUUGUAGUUUCUACAAAAAGAGUGUUUCCAAACUGCUGAAUUAAAAGAAAGGUUCAACUCUGUGAGAUGAACGCAAGCAUCACAAAGAAGUUU
This 321-nucleotide long non-coding RNA is filed under the name Homo sapiens (human). Its description in RNAcentral is "HSALNT0352186". The record is from RNAcentral. Lineage: Eukaryota; Metazoa; Chordata; Mammalia; Primates; Hominidae.